Molecule: ribosomal RNA, 395 nt
Filed under: uncultured eukaryote
Lineage: Eukaryota
Description: SSU rRNA
Rfam family: Eukaryotic small subunit ribosomal RNA
Source: RNAcentral
CCAGCAGCUGCGGUAAUUCCGGCUCUAAUAGCAUAUAUUAAAGUUGUUGCAGUUAAAAAGCUCGUAGUCGGAUUUUGGGCGCGUGUGAACUGUCAGCCUCUGGUUGGACGGUGCGCGCGUGCCUUUCUGCUUGGGAGCCCCAUGGUGGUUAAUUCUGCUGUGGUGGGACGCAGGCCGUUUACUUUGAAAAAAUUAGAGUGUUCAAAGCAGGCCUACGCUUGAAUACAUUAGCAUGGAAUAAUGGAAUAGGACUUUGGUCUUAUUUGUUGGUUUAUGGGACCGAAGUAAUGAUUAACAGGGACAGUUGGGGCCGUUUAUAUUUCGUUGUCAGAGGUGAAAUUCUUGGAUUUACGAAAGAUAAACUUCUGCGAAAGCAUUCGGCAAGGAUGUUUUCA